Molecule: unclassified non-coding RNA, 147 nt
Organism: Pongo abelii (Sumatran orangutan)
Lineage: Eukaryota; Metazoa; Chordata; Mammalia; Primates; Hominidae
Rfam family: Metazoan signal recognition particle RNA
About the family: The signal recognition particle (SRP) is a universally conserved ribonucleoprotein. It is involved in the co-translational targeting of proteins to membranes. The eukaryotic SRP consists of a 300-nucleotide 7S RNA and six proteins: SRPs 72, 68, 54, 19, 14, and 9.
Source: Ensembl
GUCGGGCGUGGUGGUGCACGCCUGUAAUCCCAGCUACUAGGUGGCUGAGGCAGGAGAAUCGCUUGAACCCAGGAGGUGGGGGUUGCAGUGAGCUGAGAUCAUGCCACUGCACUCCAGCCUGGGUGACAGAGCCAGACUCUGUCUCAA